Non-coding RNA from Chelonoidis abingdonii (Abingdon island giant tortoise), 177 nucleotides. Lineage: Eukaryota; Metazoa; Chordata; Testudines; Testudinidae. The record is from RefSeq and is a predicted model, not a curated record.
GCUGUUGUUGCUGGCGGCAUUGUCAGGCUUUGUCUGAUUUCAGGUAAGGCUGGUUUCUAGCUAGUGCUGCGUGGGCUGGAUCUAAUGCCGCCGCCGCCGGCUCCUCUCACUGCCACUGGGUGAGUGGAUUUAUUUAUUUAUUUAUUCCCCAUGACGUGUCCCCAGCAGCAGCAGCAG